RNAcentral lists this ribosomal RNA (492 nucleotides) under uncultured bacterium. RNAcentral describes it as "partial 16S ribosomal RNA". It matches the Rfam family "Bacterial small subunit ribosomal RNA", at positions 29 to 507 of the family's 1533-position model. The record is from RNAcentral.
AGUGAACGCUGGCGGUAGGCCUAACACAUGCAAGUCGAACGGCAGCACAGUAAGAGCUUGCUCUUGCGGGUGGCGAGUGGCGGACGGGUGAGGAAUACAUCGGAAUCUACUUUUUCGUGGGGGAUAACGUAGGGAAACUUACGCUAAUACCGCAUACGACCUACGGGUGAAAGCAGGGGAUCUUCAGACCUUGCGCGAUUGAAUGAGCCGAUGUCGGAUUAGCUAGUUGGCGGGGUAAAGGCCCACCAAGGCGACGAUCCGUAGCUGGUCUGAGAGGAUGAUCAGCCACACUGGAACUGAGACACGGUCCAGACUCCUACGGGAGGCAGCAGUGGGGAAUAUUGGACAAUGGGCGCAAGCCUGAUCCAGCCAUACCGCGUGGGUGAAGAAGGCCUUCGGGUUGUAAAGCCCUUUUGUUGGGAAAGAAAAGCAGCAGGUUAAUACCCCGCUGUUCUGACGGUACCCAAAGAAUAAGCACCGGCUAACUUCGUG